RNAcentral lists this ribosomal RNA (489 nucleotides) under uncultured bacterium. Its description in RNAcentral is "bacterial SSU rRNA". It matches the Rfam family "Bacterial small subunit ribosomal RNA", at positions 46 to 504 of the family's 1533-position model. The record is from RNAcentral.
GCUUAACACAUGCAAGUCGAACGAAGAGCGAUGGAAGCUUGCUUCUAUCAAUCUUAGUGGCGAACGGGUGAGUAACGCGUAAUCAACCUGCCCUUCAGAGGGGGACAACAGUUGGAAACGACUGCUAAUACCGCAUACGAUCUAAUCUCGGCAUCGAGGAUAGAUGAAAGGUGGCCUCUACAUGUAAGCUAUCACUGGAGGAGGGGAUUGCGUCUGAUUAGCUAGUUGGAGGGGUAACGGCCCACCAAGGCGAUGAUCAGUAGCCGGUCUGAGAGGAUGAACGGCCACAUUGGGACUGAGACACGGCCCAGACUCCUACGGGAGGCAGCAGUGGGGAAUCUUCCGCAAUGGACGAAAGUCUGACGGAGCAACGCCGCGUGAGUGAUGACGGCCUUCGGGUUGUAAAGCUCUGUUAAUCGGGACGAAAGGCCUUCUUGCGAAUAGUGAGAAGGAUUGACGGUACCGGAAUAGAAAGCCACGGCUAACUAC